AGUGAACGCUGGCGGUAGGCCUAACACAUGCAAGUCGAACGGCAGCACAGUAAGAGCUUGCUCUUACGGGUGGCGAGUGGCGGACGGGUGAGGAAUACAUCGGAAUCUACUUUUUCGUGGGGGAUAACGUAGGGAAACUUACGCUAAUACCGCAUACGACCUACGGGUGAAAGCAGGGGAUCUUCGGACCUUGCGCGAUUGAAUGAGCCGAUGUCGGAUUAGCUAGUUGGGGGGGUAAAGGCCCACCAAGGCGACGAUCCGUAGCUGGUCUGAGAGGAUGAUCGGCCACACUGGAACUGAGACACGGUCCAGACUCCUGCGGGAGGCAGCAGUGGGGAAUAUUGGACAAUGGGCGCAAGCCUGAUCCAGCCAUACCGCGUGGGUGACGAAGGCCUUCGGGUUGUAAAGCCCUUUUGUUGGGAAAGAAAAGCAGCAGGUUAAUACCCCGCUGUUCUGACGGUACCCAAAGAAUAAGCACCGGCUAACUUCGUG
This 492-nucleotide ribosomal RNA is filed under the name uncultured bacterium. RNAcentral describes it as "partial 16S ribosomal RNA". It matches the Rfam family "Bacterial small subunit ribosomal RNA", at positions 29 to 507 of the family's 1533-position model. The record is from RNAcentral.